Molecule: transfer RNA, 67 nt
Filed under: Arbanatus sp.
Lineage: Eukaryota; Metazoa; Arthropoda; Insecta; Hemiptera; Aradidae
Description: tRNA-Val
Source: RNAcentral
CAAGUAGUCUUAUAGUAAGUUUAUUGUUUACAUCAAUAAUGUAAUCGUGCAAUUCGAUUUUGCUUGA